This 704-nucleotide long non-coding RNA is filed under the name Aquilegia coerulea. RNAcentral describes it as "long non-coding RNA (ACOE_LNC001403)". The record is from RNAcentral. Lineage: Eukaryota; Viridiplantae; Streptophyta; Magnoliopsida; Ranunculales; Ranunculaceae.
CCAUCGAUUGAAAUUGUUGGUAUCUGCAUAAUGAUACCGCAUCACUGACAUUUUUGUGCUGAUAUAAAACAAAAAUAAGGACGAAUAUCAUGGACAAUAGGGGGGUCAAUAAAAUUGCAAAGCUCGGGUGGAAUUUGAAAUUUUAAAUGAUAGUGGUUUAUUAGAAUAUAUUAAGGCAUUACUUACAUUCUCUUUGAACACAAGCAGUUGAACAACCAUUCCAACAAUCUGCCGGUAGUUUGAGCGUUUCUGAAAUUUGAACAAAAACAAAAUCACAAAUGGAAACAUCUAUCUUCUUGAUCUUUCUUAUUUCUUUCCGAAAUCUGAACCAAAUUUAAUGAGAAACAAGAGAGAGAAAAAAAGUAUGCAAAAUAAAAAUGAAACAAAGUAUAAAACAAUCUUAAUUACCCUUUGCAGAAUUCCACACUUAAAUCUAAGUUCUUUGAUAAUGAUUUCAAAAUCUACAGUGAAAUGGAAGCAUAUAAAAGAAUAUGGGCUUGAUUUUGAUUUCGGGUUUCUCAAAACUUAAGAGGAGAGAGAGAGAGAGAGAGAGAGAGAGAGAGAGAGAGAGAGAGGGGGGGGGGGAAACCUUAACUUGGGAGAGAUGUAAGUGAUAUAUAAGAUGAAAGAAGAUCAAAGAGUGGUUGAAGAUCUGGAUUUGGGGAAGAACACAAACGGGGAAGGAGAAGAGAGUGGGAGAAUAG